Non-coding RNA from Cercophora sp. LCS_1, 86 nucleotides. The record is from the annotation of a GenBank genome assembly. NCBI's taxonomy places the organism in Eukaryota, Fungi, Ascomycota, Sordariomycetes, Sordariales, Lasiosphaeriaceae.
GGUUGUGUAGUGUAGUGGUUAUCACUCUGGAUUUUGAUUAGUCAUAAUCCAUUCCAGUAACCCCGGUUCGAACCCGGGCACGACCU